This 707-nucleotide ribosomal RNA is filed under the name uncultured bacterium. RNAcentral's name for it is "bacterial SSU rRNA". It matches the Rfam family "Bacterial small subunit ribosomal RNA", at positions 76 to 776 of the family's 1533-position model. The record is from RNAcentral.
UAGCUUGCUACUUUGCCGGCGAGCGGCGGACGGGUGAGUAAUGUCUGGGAAACUGCCUGAUGGAGGGGGAUAACUACUGGAAACGGUAGCUAAUACCGCAUGACCUCGAAAGAGCAAAGUGGGGGAUCUUCGGACCUCACGCCAUCGGAUGUGCCCAGAUGGGAUUAGCUAGUAGGUGAGGUAAUGGCUCACCUAGGCGACGAUCCCUAGCUGGUCUGAGAGGAUGACCAGCCACACUGGAACUGAGACACGGUCCAGACUCCUACGGGAGGCAGCAGUGGGGAAUAUUGCACAAUGGGCGCAAGCCUGAUGCAGCCAUGCCGCGUGUGUGAAGAAGGCCUUAGGGUUGUAAAGCACUUUCAGCGAGGAGGAAGGCAUCACACUUAAUACGUGUGGUGAUUGACGUUACUCGCAGAAGAAGCACCGGCUAACUCCGUGCCAGCAGCCGCGGUAAUACGGAGGGUGCAAGCGUUAAUCGGAAUUACUGGGCGUAAAGCGCACGCAGGCGGUUUGUUAAGUCAGAUGUGAAAUCCCCGCGCUUAACGUGGGAACUGCAUUUGAAACUGGCAAGCUAGAGUCUUGUAGAGGGGGGUAGAAUUCCAGGUGUAGCGGUGAAAUGCGUAGAGAUCUGGAGGAAUACCGGUGGCGAAGGCGGCCCCCUGGACAAAGACUGACGCUCAGGUGCGAAAGCGUGGGGAGCAAACAGG